Molecule: long non-coding RNA, 1906 nt
Filed under: Setaria italica (foxtail millet)
Lineage: Eukaryota; Viridiplantae; Streptophyta; Magnoliopsida; Poales; Poaceae
Description: long non-coding RNA (SITA_LNC004857)
Source: RNAcentral
CCUGCUUAUUCAGACAACAAAUUUUUCGGAGGCUUAUCAGAUAAGCUUGCUUGCCAGGUAGGUAAGCGAGUUCGAGAAAAACGUAUACAAACAAACAUGGACUUCUCCGCUCGACCGCCCCCUCCUCUCUGAGUCUAGUCUGAAUCUCUCUCUAAAUCUCUCUCUAGCUUAACCGGAUGCCGCCGCUCUCACCCAAAUCGAUGCCGCCCAAAUCUCUCUCCACCCAAACGAAGCACAAGCCAAACGAGAUCAGGCUUCACUUCAGAAAUUUCUUAGCGCCAUCACCCUAGAUCGGGAAAACGGCCUCGAAGGAGCUAGCUAUGGCGGCGGCUGCCUGGGGCGAGCUGCAGGCAAACACGAGCAGCCUGCGGGCGAGCUGCGGAGUGCGGGCGAACUCGAGGAGGUUGUAGGCGCGGCCGGCGAUGACCCCAAGCUGCGAGCUGAUGCAAGGUGCAAGAUGCAGGUUCGUAGGUGGCGGAGCAACGAGGUACGCAGGUUAGUCGGGAAACAUUACGGGAUAAAACGGGAUUUUCCCGAUCAAAUACGGGAACCGAGAAUCCGGUCGGGAAAACGCUCCAACCAAUUCCGGUCCCGAUUUUCGCCGGGUUUUCCCGGAUUUUUUUUCCGAUUCCGAUUUUUCCCGUAAAUCCAGUAUUCGAUCGGUAUACGCGGUAUACGGUGCCGGUCGGUACGGGAUCUUCCCGUUCCUACUUUCAUAAGUCUCAGGUGAAGGCUCGGCCACACGGCGCCGUGCCGACCGUUGCAGGCGUUUGGGCCUGCGGUACACAGUGGUGAGGUCGAUGACGCGCGAUGCCCAGACCCCAGUGUUGUGUCGUGUCGUGUCCUCUGCAUGGCCGGGGCACCGGAUCCCAGGUGCCGGCACGAGAGUACUCCGGCGAGGCGAUCCCAGGAGUAGAGCACAAGGCUGCCGCCGAAUCUGUUCGGAGCCGCACGGGCAGAGGGCAGGGGAGGAAAUGCUCCGAAACCGACGGGGUACGGAAGCGGCCACCGAAUUGGUGGAUGAUGAUGCCAGCCUCUGGACUUUGGAGGCUCUGUCUCUCCCGGCUGCUUUUCUAGAGGAGAACUACUACUGUCAUCCUGUCGCCACGGAGGCGCUUGUCAAAGCGCCGCGCCGUGUGACGAGACGAGCUGACUGCCGCACCAAUCCGCUGCCGGGCCGUUUCCGAUCGGGGAGGCUGUCUCUGGUGGAGGAGGAAGUGGUUGCUCCAUUUGCUAGCUCUUCUAGUCUUGUAGAGCUGGGCCUUUUCCCAAGUGGAAAGAGGUUUUAAAAAAAAGAGUAAAAUACAUGGAUCGUCAUUAUACUUGUCGGUGUAUUUCAAUUUGGUCAUCUUACUAAGAAAAAGUGUAAAUCACAGUCAUUAAGAUUGUUCGACUCUGUCGAUACGGUCAUUGGCUCUCUAGCAAUACGUAUUCUGAUGAUGUGCCGCCGAACGUUAUUCUGAUGAUGUGCCGCCGAACGUGACAAACCGAGGCAUGUACAUUUAUAAAUUGCUCCCUCUAAUUUGAUUUAUUUAUAGGUUGUGGUUUGUUCUUCUCCUCCUCCGGGACUACAUAAGCACGUUCACGUGCCCGCUGCCGGAACACAUCGUGGCGUCGAUGACGGCUCUGUUCAACCUAGAAGAUGAAGGGGAGGAGCUGAUACACGAGGCACUACUGCAGGACGCGAUCGCCGACCUCCAGCAAGAGACAACGCCAUCAACAGAAUGAUGCAGAUGGUAACAAUAUUAGGGAGUACUUUCGACUCCAUGUAUCCACGCCCUGCUGGCUGCAACCUUCGAGCAAGACUACCUAUCGGCCCUGCUAGCUCAGACUUUCGGGCUUCCUGUACGCGAUAUAGAUCCUGCCCUGCUGGCUCUGACCUUCGGGCAUACUGCGCACUACUUCG